GUAUCUGCGGGUCAACGGGAAGACGACCCAUGGGUUCAUAGUUGGAGCCUUUGUGGAUUUGCUUGUAGGCCUCGCUUCUUCUUCUUCUUCUUCUCCUCCACCUCCUCCUCCUCCUCCUCCAUCUUCUGCAUCAUCUUCCAACUCCUUUAAGAUCGAGGAACUCAAAGAGGAGGACGCCAGUGGAUCAAGUUAGCUUCCUUUAAUCCAACAAAAACAUAUAUAUAUAUAUAUAUAUAUAUAUAUAUAUAUAUAUAUAUAUAUAUAUAUAUAUAUAUAUAUAUAUAUAUAUAUAUAAAAUUUAUUUGAAGAGUCGUUAGACGAGCACCUUGUGUUCAUGGCUUCCAACCUCGUUCUCUGAUGGAAGAAGCCAGCGGUGCGUUGUCUCCUUGUAGAGUCUGCCGGAAGGGCCAUCACAGUGGUUCUCUCAAUCAUAGACAUCGGCAUGUCACCAGAUGCUUCUAUCAGAGCAGGACAAGUGCUGCCAUGGAUUAAAUGAACAACACUGCUGCUGCAGCAGAUCAUGACAACUGCUUGCACUGCUUCUGGUUGAUGAUUCCCAUCAGGUUAUGGCCAGCGGGGACAGAUGUGAAAGUUAUUGGGCUAACGUCCUUCUCCAGUAGGAGUUCGGGAGAACUGUAGAUGUUGGAUGGAUAGACGAUAUCAGUUGUACAUUUAACAUGUCCUCCGAAGAGAAAAAGGAGUGCACAGUGGGUAGUGAUUGCCCCCUUUCUCGAGGAAGGUCGCUUAC
RNAcentral lists this long non-coding RNA (748 nucleotides) under Musa acuminata (dwarf banana). RNAcentral's name for it is "long non-coding RNA (MACU_LNC003078)". Lineage: Eukaryota; Viridiplantae; Streptophyta; Magnoliopsida; Zingiberales; Musaceae. The record is from RNAcentral.